This 660-nucleotide ribosomal RNA is filed under the name Pseudomonas sp. AR-373. Its description in RNAcentral is "bacterial SSU rRNA". It matches the Rfam family "Bacterial small subunit ribosomal RNA", at positions 93 to 749 of the family's 1533-position model. Lineage: Bacteria; Pseudomonadati; Pseudomonadota; Gammaproteobacteria; Pseudomonadales; Pseudomonadaceae. The record is from RNAcentral.
CAGCGGCGGACGGGUGAGUAAUGCCUAGGAAUCUGCCUGGUAGUGGGGGACAACGUUUCGAAAGGAACGCUAAUACCGCAUACGUCCUACGGGAGAAAGCAGGGGACCUUCGGGCCUUGCGCUAUCAGAUGAGCCUAGGUCGGAUUAGCUAGUUGGUGAGGUAAUGGCUCACCAAGGCGACGAUCCGUAACUGGUCUGAGAGGAUGAUCAGUCACACUGGAACUGAGACACGGUCCAGACUCCUACGGGAGGCAGCAGUGGGGAAUAUUGGACAAUGGGCGAAAGCCUGAUCCAGCCAUGCCGCGUGUGUGAAGAAGGUCUUCGGAUUGUAAAGCACUUUAAGUUGGGAGGAAGGGCAGUAACUUAAUACGUUGCUGUUUUGACGUUACCGACAGAAUAAGCACCGGCUAACUCUGUGCCAGCAGCCGCGGUAAUACAGAGGGUGCAAGCGUUAAUCGGAAUUACUGGGCGUAAAGCGCGCGUAGGUGGUUCGUUAAGUUGGAUGUGAAAUCCCCGGGCUCAACCUGGGAACUGCAUUCAAAACUGUCGAGCUAGAGUAUGGUAGAGGGUGGUGGAAUUUCCUGUGUAGCGGUGAAAUGCGUAGAUAUAGGAAGGAACACCAGUGGCGAAGGCGACCACCUGGACUGAUACUGACACUGA